CUCUGGGUCCAACCUCCCACCCAUGUUUAUUGUACCUUGUUGCUUCGGCGGGCCCGCCUCACGGCCGCCGGGGGGCUUCUGCCCUCUGGCCCGCGCCCGCCGAAGACACCAUUGAACACUGUCUGAAGAUUGCAGUCUGAGCAAUUAGCUAAAUAAGUUAAAACUUUCAACAACGGAUCUCUUGGUUCCGGCAUCGAUGAAGAACGCAGCGAAAUGCGAUACGUAAUGUGAAUUGCAGAAUUCAGUGAAUCAUCGAGUCUUUGAACGCACAUUGCGCCCCUUGGUAUUCCGGGGGGCAUGCCUGUCCGAGCGUCAUUGCUGCCCUCAAGCACGGCUUGUGUGUUGGGCCCCGUCCUCCUUCCCGGGGGACGGGCCCGAAAGGCAGCGGCGGCACCGCGUCCGGUCCUCGAGCGUAUGGGGCUUUGUCACCCGCUCUUGUAGGCCCGGCCGGCGCUUGCCGACAACCAUCAAUCUUUUUUCAGGUUGACCUCGGAUCAGGUAGGGAUACCCGCUGAACUUAAGCAUAUCAAUAAGCGGAGGAA
RNAcentral lists this small RNA (542 nucleotides) under uncultured fungus. Its description in RNAcentral is "eukaryotic LSU rRNA". The stretch from base 162 to 315 matches the Rfam family "5.8S ribosomal RNA". Lineage: Eukaryota; Fungi. The record is from RNAcentral.